This 253-nucleotide ribosomal RNA is filed under the name uncultured bacterium. Its description in RNAcentral is "partial 16S ribosomal RNA". It matches the Rfam family "Bacterial small subunit ribosomal RNA", at positions 524 to 776 of the family's 1533-position model. The record is from RNAcentral.
UACAGAGGGUGCGAGCGUUAAUCGGAGUUACUGGGCGUAAAGGGCGCGUAGGCGGAUAUAUAAGAUUGAUGUGAAAUCCCUGGGCUUAACCUAGGAGCUGCAUCGAUGACUGUAUAUCUGGAGUACUGUAGAGGGUAGUGGAAUUUCCGGUGUAGCGGUGAAAUGCGUAGAGAUCGGAAGGAACACCAGUGGCGAAGGCGGCUACCUGGACAGAUACUGACGCUGAGGCGCGAGAGCGUGGGGAGCAAACAGG